This is a non-coding RNA of Schizosaccharomyces pombe (fission yeast), 672 nucleotides long. The record is from the annotation of a GenBank genome assembly. NCBI's taxonomy places the organism in Eukaryota, Fungi, Ascomycota, Schizosaccharomycetes, Schizosaccharomycetales, Schizosaccharomycetaceae.
GUAAAAGAUCAAUAACAGUCUCAAAAAAAAACUUUCUUCACUUUUGAAUGACAAAAACAAAAAGAACCAAAAAGUAAAGUCUUUCAAAAGAUUACAACCCCAAUGAAUUAUUUAUAUAGAAAAACAGAGCACACUCAACAAUAUUUCAACAUUGAAAUGAAGAAAUAAAGCAUAUUAUUUCAAAAGCUUAUCAAAGAAGGGGAUAAGGGUUUGAGCCAUGGUAAAUGAAAAAACAAGCUUAGGACCAGUUGUCAACAAUUUGGGAGUCAACCCUUUAAAGAACGAGGUAGGUCCUUCGAAUUUAAGCAUAUUUUUCAAAAUAGUAAACCCGGAUUGAGGGUUAUCAAAAUUCUUAUUUUGAAUACGAGUUUUAAUAACAUCGAGAGGGGCAGAGACAAUCAAACUAGCAGAAGCACCAGCGAUUGAGGUGAAAAAAUUUUGAAAAAAAGUGGCUUGAGAGUAAUCCUUUAGUUUAAAUAUGUACUCCUUAGCAAAAGCGUUACCACCAAAGAGUGCAAAAGAACCUGGGGCAUUGCGGGCGGCAGUCCAUCCCCAUCCACGAUACAACGCAAAUUUCUCAUCAGCGAGAAUUCUGAAAACACCGCGACCUUUAAAAGCUGCAGGAUUGGUUUGGCGCUUAAUUUUCAGGACGUCUAAGGGAAGGAGGAAGAU